RNAcentral lists this signal recognition particle RNA (264 nucleotides) under Clostridiales bacterium. Its description in RNAcentral is "signal recognition particle sRNA large type". It matches the Rfam family "Bacterial large signal recognition particle RNA". From Rfam's summary of the family: The signal recognition particle (SRP) is a universally conserved ribonucleoprotein involved in the co-translational targeting of proteins to membranes. Archaeal SRP consists of a 7S RNA and homologues of the eukaryotic SRP19 and SRP54 proteins. In most bacteria, the SRP consists of a 4.5S RNA and the Ffh protein (a homologue of the eukaryotic SRP54 protein). The record is from RNAcentral. Lineage: Bacteria; Bacillati; Bacillota; Clostridia; Eubacteriales.
CUGCACUAGUCGGGGAGCUAGCGGUGCCCUGUACCUGCAAUCCGCUACAGCAGGGAUGAACUCCCGCCCCCGGAGGUACGAUGUGCUGUCUGACCGUGGUAAGUGGCGAUGACGUUCCGGUCUUGCGCAACAGCAGCCCGUGAACCAUGUCAGGCGGGGAACCGAGCAGCAUUAAGCGGGUGUCGCUGUGUGCCGCGAGGGCGCCGGGACUGAGUUAACUGCCCCGGUAACGGGCAUAUCGUAGUUUCAAAGGCGGGUGUGCAG